AACGAACGCUGGCGGCAGGCCUAACACAUGCAAGUCGAACGAGAUCUUCGGAUCUAGUGGCGGACGGGUGAGUAACGCGUGGGAACGUGCCCUUCUCUACGGAAUAGGUCCUGGGAAACUGGGUUUAAAUACCGUAUACGCCCUUCGGGGAAAGAAUUUCGGGGAAAGGAAUCGGUCCCGCGUUCGGAUUAGGUAGUUGGUGGGGUAAUGGCCUACCAAGCCGACGAUCCAUAGACUGGUUUGAGAGGAUGAUCAGCCACGACUGGGACUGAGACACGGCCCAGACUCCUAC
RNAcentral lists this ribosomal RNA (292 nucleotides) under uncultured bacterium. RNAcentral describes it as "partial 16S ribosomal RNA". It matches the Rfam family "Bacterial small subunit ribosomal RNA", at positions 29 to 342 of the family's 1533-position model. The record is from RNAcentral.